Molecule: ribosomal RNA, 585 nt
Filed under: uncultured bacterium
Lineage: Bacteria
Description: bacterial SSU rRNA
Rfam family: Bacterial small subunit ribosomal RNA
Source: RNAcentral
ACGGGUGAGUAAUAUAUCGGAACGUGCCCUAGAGUGGGGGAUAACUAGUCGAAAGACUAGCUAAUACCGCAUACGAUCUAAGGAUGAAAGUGGGGGAUCGCAAGACCUCAUGCUCCUGGAGCGGCCGAUAUCUGAUUAGCUAGUUGGUGGGGUAAAAGCCUACCAAGGCGACGAUCAGUAGCUGGUCUGAGAGGACGACCAGCCACACUGGGACUGAGACACGGCCCAGACUCCUACGGGAGGCAGCAGUGGGGAAUUUUGGACAAUGGGGGCAACCCUGAUCCAGCAAUGCCGCGUGAGUGAAGAAGGCCUUCGGGUUGUAAAGCUCUUUUGUCAGGGAAGAAACGGUUCUGGCUAAUAUCCAGAACUAAUGACGGUACCUGAAGAAUAAGCACCGGCUAACUACGUGCCAGCAGCCGCGGUAAUACGUAGGGUGCAAGCGUUAAUCGGAAUUACUGGGCGUAAAGCGUGCGCAGGCGGUUGUGUAAGACAGAUGUGAAAUCCCCGGGCUCAACCUGGGAAUUGCAUUUGUGACUGCACGGCUAGAGUGUGUCAGAGGGGGGUAGAAUUCCACGUGUAGCAGUG